UAGGUCUUGAAGCUUGAAGUUUCUAAAAGCUUUGGUACUUAUAAUAAAUAUUUAUGGUUCAUAUCUGCCUCCUCUUGAACGAAUUAAUUUGAACUUUUGUUUACCAAUAUCCUAACUCAUCAUUGUACUUUUUUGAUGAGGAUAUAGUUAUAUUGAUAUGCUAGACAUGGAAGAAACUACUAAGAAAAAACAUAAGAAAGAGCAUAAGCACAAACACAAAAAGCAUAGUUCAGAAAAGUCCGACGCCAGUAAAAAACAUAAAAAGCAUAAGAAGCACAAGACCAAGCAUAAUGACUCUAAAAGUAAAAGUGAUACUAGUACUGCAAAUGAAAGAUAUACCCCUGAAAUUUCCCCAAGGAAGUCUCUGGAUGACAAAGUUGAGAAAGAGGAUUGCGUUAUUGAAGAAAUUCCUAAAAUCGAAUUAGAUCCUAUUGAUGUUGUUAAAGAUUUAUCAUGCGGAUUGGUGGAAACACAUUCACUUGAAAUAAUAUCAUCGGAAAGCGAUGAAUUGCCUGAAGUUGAUUGUGACAGUGACGCUAUAAAUGUGGAUGUAAUCGAAGCUGAUAUGGAUUUAGAAGAAUUGAUGAAACAAAAGGAGCUUCUUCAAUUAGAAAUUGCUAGAGCUGAACUGGAGAAUAAUGGAGGUAAAAAGGAAACUAAAAUGGUUAUAGAUGAAGUCAUUCUUUUAGACGAUUCAAGCAAUGAAGCCCCAAUAGUUUUUGGUUCUAAAAAAAGGGAACGGUCUAAUGGUAAUGAAAAUAGAAGAGAAACGAAAGUUCCUAAGUUAAAGUUGGAUAAUAAAAGAAAAGAACGUUCAUCUAGUAGAGACAGAGCAAAUAAGCACAAAACAUAUAGGGAAAGAUUAAAUAGAGAAGAUAGAAAAAUAGAUUUAGAUAGAUCGAGAGAAAGGAGAAGUGAAGAUAGACAGAGAAGGGUAAUGGAUUCCAGAUCAUCCGAUAGAUAUUCUAGGGAACGUUCCUAUGCUCAAGAACAUGAUCAUCACAGAUAUGAAGAUCAUCGGAUGAGAAAUAGGAGGCUAGAUGAUCUUAGAUAUUCACGGGAUAGAUCAAGGGGUAAUAAUUAUAAUUCCAAUUCCAAAAACGGGUAUGAUAAAUCCAGAGAUAGAUAUGACAAGCAUCAUCGUUCACAUAAAUCAGAGAAACAAGAUAAGUUCAAAGAUUCUUUGAGUGAAGGGAUGAAAAAUAAGCAGAGUGAAAGUAGUGACUCUGAAAUUAAUGUCGAUUUCAAUGAAGAGGAGGAAGAUGAAGAGCAAAUUAUUGAGAAAAGAAGAAAACAGAGAGAGGAACUUUUAAAAAGACUUGAAGGUAACACACAAUCAAAUGAAGAUUCUAACACGAAUAUAUCGGAACCGUCAUCACCAAAGCCGCAAUUGAAAGAGAAUUCUUGUUUGGCUCAAACCGAUAAAGCGGAAUCGGAGGAUGAAAAUUGUAAAUCCAAAGAAGAAGGAAAGCAAAUUAGUAUUCACAGUGAAGAAUCACUCACGCCUCCUCUGCUGCCAAAUAUGAAAGUUAAAAUUGUGGAAAAGAAAGAUGUGAAAACUAUAAAACCACAAAAUAACUGGGAUAUGUUUGCUGAGCAGGAUAGCUAUAAAGCAAAUUCGUCACCUAGUACCAUAAUUUCGAAAGGUUCUGGUGCGGAAAAUCCCGCAUUAACAGAUAAUUGGGACGAUGCUGAAGGUUACUAUAGAGUCAGAAUCGGUGAAAUUUUGGAUAAUCGCUACAUGGUAUAUGGCUAUACUGGUCAGGGAGUAUUCAGUAAUGUUAUCAGAGCUAGAGAUCAAGCAAGGAGCAAUCAGGAUGUUGCAGUUAAAAUUAUAAGGAAUAAUGAGAUUAUGCACAAAACCGGAUUGAAAGAACUCGAGAUUCUGAAGAAAUUGAACGAUGCAGAUCCGGAAGAUAAACUGCACUGUUUGAGACUCAUCAGACACUUCUUCCACAAACAACAUCUAUGUAUGGUUUUCGAACCUCUGGCCAUGAAUCUUAGGGAGGUUCUCAAGAAAUAUGGAAAAGAUGUUGGCUUACAUGUGAAAGCGGUGCGUAGUUACACCCAGCAGUUGCUGUUGGCCUUGAAGCUGCUGAAGAAAACCGGUAUCUUGCAUGCAGAUAUUAAACCCGAUAAUAUUCUGGUAAACGACAGCAAGUUGGUCUUGAAAUUGUGCGACUUUGGUUCAGCCUCUUACGUGAAUGAUAACGACAUCACUCCGUAUCUUGUAUCGAGAUUUUAUAGGGCUCCAGAGAUAAUCUUAGGAAUACCCUAUGAUUAUGCCAUUGAUAUGUGGUCCGCCGCGUGCACCAUCUACGAACUGUACACCGGGAAGAUAUUAUUUUCCGGUAAAUCCAACAAUCAGAUGCUGAAAUUUUUCAUGGACGUUAAAGGAAAGUUUCCCAACAAAGUUAUAAGGAAAGGGGCGUUCAAAGAUCAGCAUUUCGAUUCAAACUGUAACUUCCUCUACCAUGAAAUCGAUAAGGUCACUGAGCGGGAAAAAAUAGUAGUUCUGUCGGUAAACAAAGUAACAAGAGACCUACAGUCCGAGCUAGUAGGUAGCCAAGUUCUGCCCGCCGACCAACUACGAAAAGUAACCCAGCUAAAGGAUCUACUGGAGAAAGCACUGGCCAUAGAUCCGGUAAAAAGAAUAAGCCUAAACAAUGCUCUCACUCAUCCGUUUAUCCAGGACAAGAUCUGAAAUCAGGUUUGGAGAGAAUGAGUUUCACUUGGCGCGAAUGCCCAUGGGGACUUUGAAAAUCGUUGAGAGACCUCCGAAUUUCGAUAGAAUUUGAAGAGGUCCCGAAAGGGAAGUACUUUUCAAGACAGAGGAGAUAAAUUGAAUUCGGUAAUAGGAAGUUUGAAAUCAGGAAAAAUUGUAAGCAAAACGAUUUUGAAAGUGUUUUUCUCAUUUUAGUGUUUCACGAAAAUAUUUAGCUGAAUUAUUGGAAAAUGUUCAGUGAAAAUAUGGGAAUUUAAUCUAUAUGGACAAGAACUCAGUGAAGGUAAUGUUUUUACUUGAGAACUGUUACAAAAUUUAUCCAAUGAUGAUGACUGCUUUUCGGUCAGGUACGGGGAUUUGAUGCA
Molecule: RNA transcript, 3090 nt
Organism: Coccinella septempunctata (seven-spotted ladybird)
Lineage: Eukaryota; Metazoa; Arthropoda; Insecta; Coleoptera; Coccinellidae
Gene: Prp4k
Gene name: serine/threonine-protein kinase PRP4 homolog
Exons: 8
Source: RefSeq, a predicted model, not a curated record